CCUACGGGAGGCUGCAGUGGGGAAUAUUGCACAAUGGGGGAAACCCUGAUGCAGCGACGCCGCGUGAGUGAAGAAGUACUUCGGUAUGUAAAGCUCUAUCAGCAGGGAAGAAAAUGACGGUACCUGAGUAAGAAGCCCCGGCUAACUACGUGCCAGCAGCCGCGGUAAUACGUAGGGGGCAAGCGUUAUCCGGAUUUACUGGGUGUAAAGGGAGCGCAGACGGUUGCGCAAGUCUGAAGUGAAAUCCCGAGGCUUAACCACGGGACUGCUUUGGAAACUGUGCGACUUGAGUAUCGGAGGGGCAGGCGGAAUUCCUAGUGUAGCGGUGAAAUGCGUAGAUAUUAGGAAGAACACCGGUGGCGAAGGCGGCCUGCUGGACGAAAACUGACGUUGAGGCUCGAAGGCGUGGGGAGCAAACAGGAUU
This 424-nucleotide ribosomal RNA is filed under the name uncultured Bacteroides sp. Its description in RNAcentral is "bacterial SSU rRNA". It matches the Rfam family "Bacterial small subunit ribosomal RNA", at positions 338 to 779 of the family's 1533-position model. Lineage: Bacteria; Pseudomonadati; Bacteroidota; Bacteroidia; Bacteroidales; Bacteroidaceae. The record is from RNAcentral.